Molecule: long non-coding RNA, 2664 nt
Organism: Psammomys obesus (fat sand rat)
Lineage: Eukaryota; Metazoa; Chordata; Mammalia; Rodentia; Muridae
Exons: 2
Source: RefSeq, a predicted model, not a curated record
CUCACUAUUAAUUGAUAACUGGCUGGGACUUUCCACUAGAAGGAGAUGGAAACCCAGUAACGCAUUCCCAGGAGCAACCCUUUCUUUUGAACCAAGUCAACCCUGGGAUUAUGUGUUUGGAGAAAGUCAAAGCACCUUCGGCAAUCACGUGCAGAGCGUGCAGACAUUCAUAAGUAUCCUUGUACUCAAGAACUGUGAAGGAAUUCAUGAAGAGUGGACUGGGAGCUGGGAUUUCAAGAUGGGCUCAGGCCCACACAGUGAACUGGAGAGCCAGAGAAGGCCGAUACAAACCUGUGGAUGUCUGUGGCGUUUUCCAUUCAAGCCUGUUCUCUGCUGGCAGAGUCCCUGUGACCCCAAGAGCCCCACAGGCUCUUCUUCAUCAGAAAACAAGGCACAAGCUCUCAGUGUGCCCAUGAGUAGCCAGACUCCCCUGCAGACCGGCUUAACAGAAGCUAGUUAUUUUCUUUUUGGAUGUUCCCUCUACCUGUUCAAAGACCUUGAAAGCACAAAUAUCAUUUUAUGUGGUUCUUCUAUGCUCCUUCCUCACACUACAUACAAACAAACAUGAGAGAGAGCAAGAGAGAGAGAGAGUCAAUCUCAGAUAGUUGGGCCCUCCUUCUUUGACUAGGUGCUCCCUGUCUCACACAAACACACACACACACACACACACACACACACACACACACACGUAAAACAGCCUGUUCUGGGGUUUGUCUGGUUCCCCUACCUGUGAGGAGAAGCUGAGGGUAUAUGGUCUUAACACCUUAUUUCUAGAAGAAAUUUAACUUUUUUUCUUGAACAUUUACUCUCAGGACGAUAGCCAUAUAAAUAGAACUGAUUUUGAAUAUUAGAAGCAAUAUUAUCUGGGCUUCUUUUUUUAACCCGUGCCAUCUGGCUGGGCCCGCAUCGACACCUACAUAAGCACAUGCUUACACUUGAGGAUAUCUGUGGUCAAAGGGGAAGGUCAGAAAAUGAGAGAAUAGCACACUCCAGAAGUUUUAAAUCAUACUUGAAAAAGAAUUAAUGAAUCGUCCUAAAUUAAGCCAAGCGGCACCAUUGAGAUUUCUGAGGCCAUAUGAAACAUGCCAAUGGUGGCCCAAGUGCCUGCUUCUUUAACAUGAGAGCAACAUAGGGGAAUGAUGCAAAUCGCUUGAAAACGUGCAUUCCUUCUGCUGCAUUGCCCUUUCCAUUUCAUACCUCUGACUUUGCCUAUGUUCUCACGUGCCCUCCAGCGGUAGGAGGACCCCAGCCAGCAAGACUUAAUCUCAGGGAGACCACCACCACUUCAUAUUCCAAGGAUUCUUUCACUCUGCUCUAGCAAGAAAAAAAGAAAAAGAAAGAAAAGAAAAAGCCUGUUCUGCUCUGUGUAACCUGUGUUCAAGGGCUGUGUACAAUAAAGGCCCCAUUCAUAGCCUUUCAUAAUUACUGGUGACCAGAUGACCUUCAUCCAUGAAAAAUGAGAAUAAUUGUGAGUAGUUUUCUGAAACACAAGGGCCCCAACCUCACCCAGCCUUUAUGGACUGAAUUGUCCUCCCUGGAUUCCCCUGUUAAGGCCAUUUAGAGAGUUUUAAGGAGACAAGAAAUGUUAAAGAAGUCAUCAGCUUGUGGUUCUGAUCCAUAAGCACUGGAGAAAAAGAAGGAAAAAAAGCAAGAAGGAAGAGGAGAGAAAAAAAAGGUUUUCAAUAGCUUGCAUGGUUUUGCUUUAGUCUGUUGUGAAAGGACAGGUAUUGAUACAAGAUACCCAAGACCAUGUUCUCAGCAAAAAGGAGAUUUGUUUGCUUCAGAGGAACAAAGAGCAGCAAACAAGAGACAAAGACAGGAGAUAGAGGAUGAGGAAGAAGAGAAAAGGAACAAGGGAGAGGGGGAAGGAAUAUUUGUCCCAGAAGGACAAAGGACUGUCCCUGGAUAGAGAGGAAACAGACGUGGCCCAUAGAAGAGCGACAGUUUACAAAGGUAAAAGGGGGAAACCCCAUGUUAGAAUAAGGUGUUUAAUUUUAAUUGGGCUUGUUAAUUAGGUGAGCCAAAGGGGGAUUUUGAUUGGUAGUCAGAUUCUGGAGAAGGAAGUGGUCAAAUAAGGAAGUAGACCUUGGUGGCUAGCUUUAGGAAUGUAAUCUAACAGUUUUUAGCAGGGAAGAGGGCAUGGAGGAGGGCAAGGCCUGCCCCAGCCACGUUUGCCGUGCUUGGUCCUGCUAGAGACCCUGCAGGUUGAAAAGAUGAACAGGGGAGUUUCUUGAAUAAAACGUGUCCUAGCCCAGCGUCAGGUGAUGCUCACACCUUUUUCAUGAAGAUUCUCUGUGGUUUUGGGUAACUUGAGUUGAAAUGUAAGGCAUACUAUGAUUGACUCGUUCAUAGUGGGUUAAUGACAAAAUCAUUCACUUAUUUGAAACAGAGGUAAUUAGAGACUGGCGCCAUUGGAAAGGGGAGUCUUUCCUUUUUAUUUUAAAAUAUAUUAUAUAUGUGUAUUUCCUGGAAACUAAUCCUUUAGCUUCUUUACAGAUCUCCUAACAACUAGAGGAGGAUAUUAUGCUGUUUCUAUUCCUUUCAAAUCUCAUGAUCCUGGACACAUCUUCGAAAUGGGCUCAGUCGUGGCACUCAUGUCUGAGAUUGGUGUGGUGGUUAAAUGAAACAUUACACUCAAAGCCCAUAAACUAGAUUGAUACCGUU